UUUAACGAAGGCAGCAUCGCUUCGCAGACUAGAAAACAGGCAAUAACUCAAUUGCUCAUGUACAUGGGAAUCAAAUAGAAGGAAAGUAACCAUGGCUGAGCAAAUUUCAUUUGCAAAGACAGAUUUAAACCUACUGAAGAAAGAGUAAAGAUACUCAAGGGACAUUAGUGGACCUUGUUGUCAGACGCUGUGCCUAAACUUGGUUAUUUUCCAUUGUUUUUUUUGUUUGUUUUUUGUUGGGGUUUUUUUUUGGUGACGCUCCCAUAUUUGAUAACCCCUGUAUGUGAAACAAAGCUGCACUACUUAUUUGUGGGCAAUAAUAUUUCUCCCAGCAAAUGAACAUAACUGACGAAGAUGCCUCCCUUUCCUCCCACAGGAUUUGGUCGCACCCUGGCACACUGCUACUAGCUUGAGUCUGGUUCCAUCUGAUUUUUUUUAAUUAUCCGUGGGAGAAGAGGAAAAAUGUAAUAGCAGUUUCAUUCAUGGAUGAAUGACCACUAUGUAUGUUUGAAAAAGCUGUACACAGACAAACAAACAAAAACCAGGAAAAAAAAACCUAAACAAACAAAAAACAACAAAACAAACAAACAAACACCAAUCAAACCCAGAACAACCCAAUCCGAUCUGCAACCUGGUGUAACUUCCUUGCACUGCUCCGGUCUUGUCACCGCAUAGGAUUAACGGGAGCCGUCAAUGCUGGUAAUCCUAUUCUAGAGCGACCUCUCGUGUUUUGUUCGUUAACUUCUGUUUAUAUUAUUUAUUUCUUUUACCUGUUAAUAGUUUCUUGUAGGGUUAUGAAAAUAUCAUCAAAUAUCUUUCUUUGGAUGCCGGUUUUGCUCUGUGCAGCAAGCUCAGUUACAUUCCCUGCCUCAUGCUUGUUGCUUAGUCAAUGCGCUGCAUUGCACUGACUCCCUUUUUUUUUUUUCCUGAAAUGAUCCCAACAGCACUAGCAAGAGGAUUUCCCCCCUCUUUUAAAUUAAUUUUCAUGUAUAUUCACUUCUGUUCGGAGUCUUCACCUUUCAGUGAAAUGACCAGAUGUCUCAGAAAGCCUGGAGCAAUGUUGGCAUCAGGAGACUUCGCCCCCAUCCUGAGUGACUGCAGACUGAGAUGCCAAUAUGUUCUGGUUUGUAAUGGAUGAUUGAUUUGCAAGACUGUUUUGCUAUGAUUCUCCCUUGCUUAAAGAAGCAUAGGGCUUUUUUUUUUUUUUUUUAAUACCAAGCAGUAUUUCCCGUCUGCAGUCUCAUGUCCAACAAAUCCAAACAUAUUACUCUUCUAACUAGCUGCUUUUUUUUUUUCUUUUUCUUCCUGAAAAGGGGUUAAUAUUAUCUGAAUCUUUAAUAGCAGAAAAAUUAAGUUGGGGAAAUAGUCAGCUCAGUAACCUAAAUACCUUUGAAUGUACAAGGACCUUCCAUGGUGAAGGAGGUGGAAGUCCCCGCACCUCAGCAGCUAUGGGGAUAGAGAGCCACACUUUCUGUUUUCUCCUUUGGUCAGCUGUGCACUUCUUUCUGCUUCUCUCAUCUCACACGUUGGAUCCAAAAGUCUAACAUCCAGACUUCUUAAGGCUUUGUGAGCUGUGUCAUCAGGCACCAUCAACAACCCUGUGGUGAUACCCCUCAGGUUCUGCCAGGGUGUGAAGUUGUGCAGACAUGUUCCACCUGUGCUAGCGUUAGAAAGUUCUCUGUGUCCAGUGAAAAGACCAGAAAAUGGUUUCUCUGUGUGUAACCCCUCUCCCUAUGAAUGUUCACCUCUGAAAAAACAGUACAGCCCAGGCCACCUCUGGGGAGAAAACUGGGAAUAGCCAGAAAGUCAGAGUUCAGACCUUAGUGGCAGCUGGUGUAAGACUGGAAGUGGGAUUUAGAAGUUACAACCUCCAGUUUAUAGUCCCUUGUCUUUUCCCUGAGAAUUGAAGUACAGCUUGGUUGAACAAUAGUAAAAUCACUAAUUUAAUGCAUUCCAGUCCCCCAGAGCUUUUUAAUGCAUGCUGCAAAUUAAUUACACAACUUUUACAACUAACAGGGACUGAGCUUUUAAUUCCUUAUGCAGUGGAGAGUGUGCUAUAACAUAACCUGCCAACACACAUGUUACUCCUCCUUACAGACUUGCUAUGCUGGUCUGGCAAGAGAAAGGAGCCUCCAAGUAAGUGGGUAAUCAGAUUCUUAAUGUUUUAAAGCAGGAACAGGCUCUCACAGAACAACACUCACAAAUGAUGUGCUUUUAGGUGCCAUGAUUGGUGUUCUAUUUUAAAAAACUCCAGUAUUAUUUUUCUUGCAGGACUGUGGCUGAAGCCCCUUUGGGUUGUAAUAAAUUAAUGGAAGGCAGGCACCCACGGCCCCAUCCACUCAGUAAGGGCAAUCUUUAAAGGCAGUAAGGUGUGACGCUCCAGACUGGCAGCUUGGCAAGAAAGAGCCCAUGGAUACCAGCACACAGGAAUCUGGAGGGUUCACUCUGACAGGCAGUCAGUACUGGGAACAAAAGGAAUUAAAAAAAAGAAAAAAAAGAAGCAAAUAUAUUUUUACAUAUUGCAGGCAUAUGGCCACAAGACCAGCAGAAAUAUAUUUAAUUACUGAUUUUGUGUGUUAAACAGAAAUAAUAUACCAACAGCAGUACCUUAUUUUUUCCCCCUUAGAUUAAAAAAAGUAAAUGAAGGGAGGUUUCUAGAACAUAGUUUAUUAAUGAUGAUGCAUUUCACCUCCAUUUACACUUCUUACCCCAUUUUUACAGUCAUUUGCAAAUAGAAUCUGAUUGCUUGAUUUUAGACUAGUGUGAUUAUUUUAGCAUGAUUUUCUUUUUAGAUGGACAUUUUUAAAUGCAACUAGGCUAUUUACCAGACUUUUUGUUGCCUCAUUUUAGAUCAAACACUUCAAACAUACAACAUAGACUUCCUACAAGUUUUACAACUAAUAUUAAGUGUAAAUGCAAACAGUGUUAUAACUAAACUGACUUGUAAGUAUCUGAAAGUUUUGUAGCAAAUGAAAAUAUAAAUCUCACUGUGGUACCUGUGUUUCAGGCUACAUAACAAUGCUGUACCCAGCUGUUUUCCGCAGAACUUACAAUUACAGUAAAUAUAUGUUCCAUGAUGGCUGGCUAAGGGGUUCACUGGCAAAAAAACAAGGAGCCUAAAGCAGGAUGGCUGUGGAAGGUCCAAAGUUGCAAUGCAAAACUCCCAAACCUGUUAGCCUUGAUGUGCCUGCCCAACACUUCUGAGAUGCCCACGUGCCCAGAAACGUGCUCCUACCCUGCGCCACACCUUCAAGCAAGCUGAUACCAAUUUCCAGCUUAUUGAAGUACAAGGACCCGGAAGCCUCUCUAUUCCACUAUUUCUCUUUCAUCAGCGUCUUCAGCAGGAAACGUAUGUUACAAGCAUGCCUCGUGGAUAUAAACAGGAUUAAACCUUUCAGGAAAUGCUGUUGUGGCCAUUUCCUUCUAAAAUAAUGUGCUGCUGGGGUUUAUGCAGCAAACCAGAGUCCUCAACCUGGGGCAACCAAAUAUGAUACCCUUCUCAGUCUGAUGGGAUUCAAACCCACCAUCACUCAAGGAAGUGCUCUAACCAACUGGUUGUAGAGUGUUUGGCACGGGAAGAGGACAUAUCUGCACCUCUCCUGGUAGAGCUAUGCUGUCGUCUCUAGGCACUACCUAAACACCUGAAGUAUAUCUAUGUAGCAGCAAUGAAGUUAUCAAGAGAAUCAAAAUUUCCAGCUCCAAAGCUGAGGCUGUCAGACCUGCCCAGUGUGAGAAUGGGAAUGAGCCCGGGGACCGGGCUGAAGCUCAAGACUUCUCUGCUCCUUGUCCCAACGGCACAGUAAAAACCCAAGACUCCAGCUCUCCUUCUCCUUUUCUUGCACAAGAAAAUAAAGAUCUGCUCAUUUUACAUGGUGGGUAAAUCCCAUCAACAUCUACCAGGGCUGAGACCACAAAGUGCAAUCAAUGAUGAGCCCAAGUGACACAGCAUUACCACCCACCUUCCCUUAAGGAGGCCAGGCCUGAGAGGCAGGUGAAGGUAAGGAGAGAGGCCAAGAGAAAUGGCUGUCCCAAAUGGAGAUGUCCUGCUCCCUCUCCACACCUCCACAUCCACAGGAGAGUUUGAGGCAGCAAGGGAGAAAACAGUAUUAGAGUACAGACUCCCAUAUGGAUCCCAUAAUCUCUUGCAAUGUUAAUUCCUUUGCUGCCCUAUGUUUACAAAGAAUUUUCCUCUUGUUUCCUAGUUAAUUAAGAAUUUCACUUUGUCACUACUAAUGGCUUCAUCAUCCUAUUCAAUUAAUGAAAUGAAAUUAUCAAGUGUUUCAUUUGUCCAGUACAUCAUGUUUUGUAGAAUAAUGUUUGUAUGUAGCAUUAUGAAACAGGAGAGACAAGUAGAGAUCAUGUCUGCUAAUUUUGUGUGAGAGAAGAAAAAGGGGUGACAUUGCAUCCUCUAAAUGGUGUCAGAUGAUGCUUUAUUUUAUAUGCACUUGAUUAUCCGAGUUAAAUAGGAGUCACUUAACAAUGUGUACUUUAUAAUAGUGAGGAAAUUUUGGGUACUGUAAAUGUGUAACUGGCCAUUUGGAUUUAGCCCAAGGUGUUGUCAAAUAGAGAAUAAAGGUCUGUUUUCAUAAAUGGGUAAGCUGUUACGGUGAUCACACAGCUGUAUCACUUGUCCUUGUAUUUUUGGGAUAUGGUAGAGUUACUAUAACACAUCUUAAAGAAAAGAAGGACUAUGGGUAUUCAACAUCACUAUUGUUACUGGUGUUUUUAGUAUUCCCCAUUUUACAAUGAGGAGCUAGAUUUGACAAUGCUAUGCAGCGUUGCUACAGCUCUUGUUACUCAGCUGACUUCUAAAAUCAGCCUGACAACAACUUCUCUGGCUUGCAGCUGUGAAUGGUUGGUGCCACGGAUUGUGAUCCCUUGUCUCUUUCUGAGCUGCCAGGAUACACUGCUUGCCACUAGCUACAGCGCAGUCUUUGAGAGCACGCUGUAAUUCAUCGCUUAACUUGCUGCUUCUCACACUGUCUUUCAGUGUUUUUAGCUGGACAUGCUCUGUCUACUUAAUAUCUGCUGGCACGGUGUUGAGUAUUUUGACGGAUGAAAGAAGUUGCAUACUUUGUGCUAGGAGCAAGAUUUGGAGUAAGGGUUGAGAGUGUAAUUUGGAAGAGGGGAAGGGGUGCUUGAGAACAGGAGGACAUUAAAUUUAGUCUUUAUUGUAGCCUUUCACAGAGGGAAUAGCUCUGGCUUUCUCUAAAGCAGUGACUGGAUUUUUCCUAGUGGUCGUUUUCACUGACUAACCCAGAGGUAAGGACCCUCCUCCUCUAUGGAGAGUCUGAUUAAAUCUUAGGAUUAUCAGAUCAGAUGCCAUCACUCUUUCAUAUUGGCUAUGUCUCUAGGAGUAAACUAAACAAGACUAUUCCCUAGCCUCAAGGCCAUCUGGCACAGUGAAGUCUAUAGCCACAUUAUUAACACUUGAAGCAUGCUGAAGAAUAGUUUGGAGGGGUGCUAGCUGGGCCAGGCCAAAACUGUUCUUAGAAUUACACAUUCAGCUUUCAGUGUGAGGGAAGUUUCCUUUGCACUAUUUAAUAUAGUGAUAUAGUAAGUAGCACCUUAAUUGUCUGUUUCAUCUGCUGAAUAAUGAAAAUAGAAGUUGGUAGCCAGUGAAUGAAUAGUAGAAGCAGAGCUUUGGUGUUGUACACAGGCAGUCAAAAAUCAGGAUUCCUAUGCCUGUGAAGAAAACACGUGGGACGCUGGUAGAUCAGAUGGCCUAUGCUCUCUACCAGUGUAAACUAGCUGAUGAUUUAACAUUUAUCUGUUGUCAACAAGAGACCAGAACACUGAGCCCCUUCCAGAGCUUCAUAUUUCUAUUUAGUGUGAAAAUAAAAGCCUCUGGCAAUAGCAGAGAUAGUCUUCAGGUUACAAGAAAAUGGGUACUUUAGAAGAUGCCUAACUUACUCAAGAGCAAAUAGCGUAGUAGGCAGCUUCUCAAACUUCUUGGUUGGAUUUUUUUUUUUGACACCAUACUUUGUGCAUUCUUGUCAUGCAUUGCCAACAUGCCAUAUGCUUACAACACAUGGUAAAAGCAUGGGUAAGAAAAUGUGAUUGUGACAUGUAAAGACAACUCUGGAUCCGUAAUACUUUUGAGCUAAAAUACAUUUGUGCAUUUGUUAUAUAAGUUUAGAGGAUUUUUUUUUUUUUUUUUAAUCGAGCACUUUGGAUGUAUAUCAUUGAAAAGGACAGAGUAAUUUCAACUUAGCAAACUCCAUGCAAAGAGAACAAGGACUGUACUAAGUGGUUAGCAGUCGUCGAGACUUCAAUGCUGUAGCCCACAGUUUGCCACUGAUUCUCAGAAGUGAAGGCUAGUCGCUUGAGUGUCCUCUGUCAGUUUACUGCUCUGUAAAAGCAGAUUUCACUAAUUUUACAUUGUUUAAAAAUUACAUGUGUAUACCAAAGAAUUGAACUUCUGUAUUUAUAAUGUAAUCGUGGAAUGGCCAGCUUAGGUCUUCUCCUUCUCUGUAUAUAAAGAGGCAGCUCCUGUCUCAAGGAGCUUAUAUAAUAGCAUGAAGAGAUAAGACAGAAAAUGAGUGGGAGAGAAAAGGAGCUAAUGAGAGGUAAAAAAGAUUUGCCUAAGGUUAGUCACACAACACUCCCUGACAGAUUUGGAAUAAAAUCCAGGCUUUCUGCAUUCCCGACCAGUUUCAGACUCACUAGACCUUGCUGUCUUCAGCUAUCACUGUUACUCAUCUCCCUGGAGAACCAGGGAGCCUAGCAGCUGUCCCUGGGUACUGUCAUAUGAAGCCGGCUCCUCUUCUGAAGUUGUUGCAGGAAUUUGUCUUUCCAAACAUGCCACUGAUAAACCCAACUUUAUUGGAGAAAAGUAGGUGAUAGAAAAAAAAGGGUGAGAAAUUGCAGUUAGGGAACUUAACCUACUGAUGCAGUUAGGAAGAUGGUCUCUAUAGGAUCCAGCAGUGACUGAGCAGAGAGAGAGGCACUUUCAUAAGGAUAUUGAGUGAAAGAACAUAGCUACAGUACUUGAGUCAGACCAGUCUUCCAUGUACGCAUAUUUAUAAGUGUGAACAUUGAGGCUUGGAAAUUACUUGAUAUAGUUGAUUGAAAAACAUUGUAUUACUUAACCCCACUAAAGAUAUUAGUAUGGAGGCAAGAUUACCUGCUACCAACCCAUAUGCAGACUUCUCAGAGAUGACGCAUAGGUUACAAAUUUUACCACAGUCACCCAGGCACAAGACACUGCAAACCCUGUGCUAGUCCGUUCCUUGUCUCUCUCUUUGCCUCCCUUCUCUUAGCAGGCCACUGGGCUCGUCACAAACUCAGAGAAGAGAGAAAGGAAGGCUACACUUCAUUUAUCAUCCCUUCAAACUUUAAAACCCAAGUGGUCCCUCAGAUCAGACACGUUUGAUUUAAUUCAUUCAUCUAACAAUAGAAAACAGAGCCAAGGCUAACAUACAUUUUUGUUCAUUUACCGUGCCCCCAGAGGUUUCAUAAUGGAGUUUACUGAUACCUUGUUGGCAAUGAUGGUGAAAUACUCCAGACUUUUACCUCAAGAGAUUUCAGCAUUCAUGCUGACAGGAGUGCGGAUAUAAAAAAAAUCACAGAACUGAUGUCUUCACUUCCCUAUCUGCAUUCCUGGGGUUUAAUACAUUUACUCCUGUGUUGUAUCAGGGCUUGCCUAAAGAGACUGUACUGAAAACACCAAAUAUAUGAGUCUGCUCCUCCCCAACUUAUGAAAAGGGAGGUUGUGAAAAACUGGUGCUGCUCAUGGCCAAUACAUGCAAUGCCUUUGUCAGGAAAGGGAGUUUCCCCAUCCUCCUUUGAAAUGUGGAAUAGUGCAACCCACAGUGAAGAAACUAAUUUUGGGUACAUCUGUCUCAGCUCCAGGUUCUCCCGCAGGGUGCCUUCUAAAAGCAGUGGAGGGUGCACCUUUGUAUCAUGAGGACAUGAGUUUUCUCCUUGCAGAAUCUCCCUAUGCAGGUAGUAGCAAAACGUGAGGCAAAAUAAACUCAAUCAACUGAAAAUAAACUCAACUAACAGGUGACAGAUAAAGCCCUAAAUUGCUUUUCAUGACACAUGGCUUUGCAUUUUCUUCUGUGGUGACCCACUGCUUUAGAACAGUGUUGUCUGAAGUGAUGAAGCUGCAUGACUCAUCAAUGAUGGUAAAGUUCUCUUGGAAAGGUUUCACAGAACUUGGUUUUUCACCAUUGACUUUUAACAUUUCUGCUUGGCAUCUGUAUUUGUCAGCCAGUCCUUAUUUAAACGUUUCUUUCACUUUCGACUGAGCACAGUGUACGUAUACAAUGUGAUCUGGUAUUCAUGAAAUCACCAGCAGGACACACGCUGGAACAUAUUUGAACAAUAGAUGCAUUGUGUGGAUGCUAGGCACUCUUCACAAGUGGUGACUUCAUGAAGAGCAAGGUUAUUCUUAAUUCUUCAUGCCUUGUAUUCAAGGUGCUCAGUUGCUAUCCUUUUAUUUGUAAAGAAAUUGUUUACAACUCCAGACUAAACCUGUUGUACAGAGCCAACAACACAGUGGUAGUGAAAAAAUUCAGGAGAGCCUGACAACUAAUUUAGCCCCAAAGCUGUGCAACCUGAUUGAAUUAUUGGCACACCUGAUAAAGUGAGAGCUGGGUGGAGAGCUGAUAAAGGGUUGAAAAGAAGGGGAUAUUACUCCAGGGCCUGACCUCAUCUGCUGGUGUUUUGUGGCUAGUACCCUUGAUCCUGUGGUAGGCCUCUCUCCACAGGCAAAGGGGUUUGGCCUCCUCGCCAGGCACCUGGGCUUUGGAGUUAUAGGGGGUGUUUGCCUAAAAUUUCCAGAAGACUCGUCUCAGAAGGGCCAUCUAACAUGAAAGACUUAGAAUAAGGUAAAGAUUUUUUUUGUUGUUGUUGAUAGUGAACUUUUUGUGUAUUUUUUUGUUGUUGCUGUUUUUGUAGUUUCAUAAGAAAUUAAAAAUGGACUAUUAUGACACCAGUUAAUGUGCAAAUUUAACAAAAUAUGAGCUAUUUGAGGCACUAUUAUGUUGGAAUAAAGUGGGCAGGUAGUUGAUGAUUAAAUUGGAGAUGGCCUUUUUCUCUGAGAUCUUAACAAAGAAAUUUAGACCCUGAAGAGAAAACGCCAAAAUAAUUUUCCAGGCUUUGUCACUGGCUUUAGUGGUACUGGUCCUCUGUACACAGAUAUUCUCCUAACACUCUUUUUGGCCUGAAGGUGCAGAAGCACAGUGUCACAAUCCUAAGAGGAAAGAAUCCCCAAAGGUGAUAGCAAACCUCUAGGAGAGAAGGGAAAACCUGCACCCAGUUGUGAUGCAGCUUUCUAUGAUUAAAUACCCCAGAUCUCUGUGGAAGUGCUUAUAAUGAGAAUUUUGGUCUUUUCAUUUUGCUGUCAGAUUCAAAUCUAUAUCCCUCCUGUUGUCAAGGUUUUCGAACCUUGAAUUUUAAUUUUGAUGGAUUUAUCACCAGCCACCUUUUGCACACAGUUGUUUCCAUUUAUUUCUGGACGUACUGGCUGUGCUGGGAUAACAAAUGGUAGGAGAAGGUAUUAACUUAAAUGAGCUACAUGAAACAGAUUUCUGUCCGUGUCCCCUCGGCAUUUCUUGAUAACAACACUGUCAACAGAUCUAAACAUUGUCAAGAUGUGUGAAAAGAAGCUAAGUUUAUGCCUGUGACUAGAACUUUUCAGAGAAUGGGCUUCAAAAAGUUUUCAGGAUUUUAUUUUUUCAACAAGCAGGCAGAAUUUCCUUAGAAAGUAGAGACUUUUUGUAAGAAUUUAAUUUUAGUCAGAAUGCCAGUUUUACUGUUGGAAGAAUUUUGUUGGGAAAAAGUUGACAGGCUCUUGGUGAGUGAUUUCAACAUUUCAUUGUAUAAAUUAGUGUGUCUGCUAAUGGAAAAGAGUCCAGCUUAGACUUUAAAGAAUUCUAGUGGAUGGCUGUGACCACAGUUUCACCAAUACUCUGUAUUUUUUACAAUGCUGCAAACAUGGCCUUCAUCAGGUGCUCCGUGGAGUAAGUAGUUAGGGUAGGUCAGAAAGAGAGAACAACAUUGCAUGUAAGAUUGAAAUAUGAUUUUACUCAAAGGACAAAAUUAAUCUCUGCAUAGUUUUGUAAUGCUUUUGCACAAAGAUGAAGUACCAUUGUAGUUUAUCAUCUUUGACAUUAACACAAGUCUUUCACCCUAGCUUCCCCAAAAUAAAUUUUACCCAGCAGUCUGUGUCUUUAAGAAAAAGCAAAAGGAAAGCCCCUAAUGUAAUUGUCUUCCUGGGGAGAGGAAGAAAGAACAAAUGUGUGAUGUGCUAGCCAUGUUGUUUAAUGCUCUAAGGAUGGUGUUCUGAUACUAUAGUGAUGAAGGCAACACAACAGAUGGAAUAUAAGUACUUUUUGCUAAAAUGUCAUGGGAUCAUGUCAAAAUGAUAUAUAUGGUACCCAGCAUAUAGUUCUCCAAGAAAAGCUUUUAUGUAACAAAACAAUACAUGACGAUGUGUAACUGCAUUCCACUGAAAUUCUUAGCUUGACCCAAGGGAGUGGCAGGAAAAUAUGCCAGGGGAGGUUUGGGUUGGACAUUAGGAAAAGGUUCUUUCCCCAGAGGGUGGUGGAGCACUGGAACAGGCUCCCCAGGGAGGUGUCACGGCCCUAAGCCUGACAGUGUUCAAGAAGAGACUGGACAAUGUCCUCAGACACAUGGUGUGAACUGUGGGGUUGGACUUGAUGAUCCUUGUGGGUCCCUUCCAACUCAGGAUAUUCUAUGAUUCUAUGAUUUCUGCUAGCAUAGGAAAUACAAUUAUUUAUGUAUGUUUAUAAACAUUCUUUAUUACAUUAAAUAUAUUCCACCUUCUGUA
Molecule: long non-coding RNA, 10798 nt
Organism: Columba livia (rock pigeon)
Lineage: Eukaryota; Metazoa; Chordata; Aves; Columbiformes; Columbidae
Exons: 3
Source: RefSeq, a predicted model, not a curated record